This 1015-nucleotide long non-coding RNA is filed under the name Fragaria vesca (wild strawberry). RNAcentral's name for it is "long non-coding RNA (FVES_LNC005325)". Lineage: Eukaryota; Viridiplantae; Streptophyta; Magnoliopsida; Rosales; Rosaceae. The record is from RNAcentral.
GUAUUGCGUGUGAACACACUUCAACUUACAUCUCGAUAAACUUCUUUAAAGAAUGGGUAGUGAGCUCGUAGAAGUAUAAGCACCAUAAACAGUAGAUAAUAGUGUAACACGUGACGAGUGUGCUAACACUUCAACCAACACCAUAAAGCAGAAAAGGUGUCCGCAAGUUGGUUGUAUCUAUCUACAUAGUUUGAUGUAAGAAUAGAAUGUUCACUUUUGUGUCAUUUAGCGUAGGAGGGUCUCACUCCUAAUUUAGCUAAAGAAUAGGCUUUCAAAACGAGGAAUGAGCAUUGCAAGGGGUCAAUGUGACAUCGAGGGAAGGCCGGUGCAUCUCAAUUGCUUGAGGAAUUGACCGGACGACCUCCAAGAAGUUGGAGUCGUGUUUGGGUGAUGUCAAUGUCCCCCAGGUCACCACCAUGCUUCAUGGUGAUGCUAGAUCUCGAAUGUCUUCGUUUUAAGCGGAAGAAAAUGGAUAUCCAUGAGAAUUUCUCAAAAUUUGGACCAUUAUAUCUCUUCCAGGUUGACCAAUUUGGUCAAACCAAAUCCUAUAUGAGUCAGUGUCCCAAAUAUCAUGUUUGGCGACAACAUGGGAUUCGAUAUUCGAAUCAUAGUGACAUACAGUCCAUUAGAUUGACUCAUGAAUUUCUCCAAGAUGCGCUUCAGUCCGCAUUCAUGAGAAGGUAUACACAAAAGAAUUCUUGUUCAUUCUCACAAUGUGUUUUCAAAUGAAAACUAUUAGCAGAAAUGUCUUUAAAGCUCAAUAUGGUUCGAUUGCCUCUCAAUGCAUAGAGGGUAUCUGUGACAUUGAUCAUGGUGCCAUGAGGCAUCAAGAUUUAAGCUAAACCGCGUCCUUGAAUAACCGGUAUGAUUCAAUCAUUGUAGUCACAGAAGAUUUACAAAGGCACAAAAUCGAAAGAUAGUUGCCGGUUCCUUAGAAUGUUGUGGAUAGUUCCACUAUCUACGAAGCACUCAAUGUCUCGAUGAGACAUAUCUACAAGAAGGAGUAGAUAGGCUA